CAAUAGCGUAUAUUAAAGUUGUUGCAGUUAAAAAGCUCGUAGUUGGAUUUCUGGUGGGAGCGAUCGGUCUGGCGCUUAGCGCGAGUACUUGCAUCGUCUCCGGCCAUCCUUGGGGAGAGUCUGUCUGGCAUUAGGUUGUCGGGCAGAGGAUCCUCAUCGUUUACUGUGAAAAAAUUAGAGUGUUCAAAGCAGGCUUAUGCCGUUGAAUAUAUUAGCAUGGAAUAAUAAGAUAGGACUUUGGUACUAUUUUGUUGGUUUGCGCACCAAAGUAAUGAUUAAUAGGGACAGUUGGGGGUAUUCGUAUUCCGUUGUCAGAGGUGAAAUUCUUGGAUUACGGAGGACGAACUACUGCGAAAGCAUUUACCAAGGAUGUUUUCAUUAA
This 382-nucleotide ribosomal RNA is filed under the name uncultured eukaryote. RNAcentral describes it as "partial 18S ribosomal RNA". It matches the Rfam family "Eukaryotic small subunit ribosomal RNA", at positions 592 to 976 of the family's 1831-position model. The record is from RNAcentral.